GGGGAAUAUUGCACAAUGGGGGAAACCCUGAUGCAGCAACGCCGCGUGAAGGAUGAAGGUUUUCGGAUUGUAAACUUCUUUAGUCAGGGACAAAUAAAUGCCGUUACCUAAAAAUAAACCCCGGGUCAAUUACUGGCAAGCAGCCGCGGUAAUACGUAGGUGGCGAGCGUUGUCCGGAAUUACUGGGUGUAAAGGGCGUGUAGGCGGGAAUGUAAGUCAGAUGUGAAAUCCCAGGGCUUAACUCUGGAGCUGCAUCUGAAACUAUGUUUCUUGAGUGUCGGAGAGGAAAGCGGAAUUCCUAGUGUAGCGGUGAAAUGCGUAGAUAUUAGGAGGAACACCAGUGGCGAAGGCGGCUUUCUGGACGAUAACUGACGCUGAGGCGCGAAAGCGUGGGGAGCAAACA
Molecule: ribosomal RNA, 403 nt
Filed under: uncultured Clostridium sp.
Lineage: Bacteria; Bacillati; Bacillota; Clostridia; Eubacteriales; Clostridiaceae
Description: bacterial SSU rRNA
Rfam family: Bacterial small subunit ribosomal RNA
Source: RNAcentral